CAGUCGCCGCGGUAAUACGUAGGUCCCGAGCGUUGUCCGGAUUUAUUGGGCGUAAAGCGAGCGCAGGCGGUUAGAUAAGUCUGAAGUUAAAGGCUGUGGCUUAACCAUAGUAUGCUUUGGAAACUGUUUAUCUUGAGUGCAGAAGGGGAGAGUGGAAUUCCAUGUGUAGCGGUGAAAUGCGUAGACAUAUGGAGGAACACCGGUGGCGAAAGCGGCUCUCUGGUCUGUAACUGACGCUGAGGCUCGAAAGCGUGGGGAGCGAACAGGAUUAGAUACCCCCGUAGUCCCUGUCUCUUAUACA
RNAcentral lists this ribosomal RNA (301 nucleotides) under uncultured bacterium. Its description in RNAcentral is "partial 16S ribosomal RNA". It matches the Rfam family "Bacterial small subunit ribosomal RNA", at positions 509 to 808 of the family's 1533-position model. The record is from RNAcentral.